CCAAGUCAGGUGGGACUACCCGCUGAACUUAGCAUAUCAUA
RNAcentral lists this ribosomal RNA (41 nucleotides) under Piper excelsum. RNAcentral describes it as "Macropiper excelsum partial 26S ribosomal RNA". The record is from RNAcentral. Lineage: Eukaryota; Viridiplantae; Streptophyta; Magnoliopsida; Piperales; Piperaceae.